AUGCUGCAUCUUCCUCUUCCUU
RNAcentral lists this non-coding RNA (22 nucleotides) under Arabidopsis thaliana (thale cress). The record is from RNAcentral. Lineage: Eukaryota; Viridiplantae; Streptophyta; Magnoliopsida; Brassicales; Brassicaceae.